UCCCUGGUGGUCCAGUGGCUAAGACUCUGUGUUCCCAAUGCAGAGGGCCCAGGUUCAAUCCCUGGUCAGGGAA
Ovis aries (sheep) is the source of this 73-nucleotide transfer RNA. It matches the Rfam family "tRNA". Rfam says of the family: Transfer RNA (tRNA) molecules are approximately 80 nucleotides in length. Their secondary structure includes four short double-helical elements and three loops (D, anti-codon, and T loops). Lineage: Eukaryota; Metazoa; Chordata; Mammalia; Artiodactyla; Bovidae. The record is from Rfam.